Molecule: ribosomal RNA, 429 nt
Filed under: uncultured Gammaproteobacteria bacterium
Lineage: Bacteria; Pseudomonadati; Pseudomonadota; Gammaproteobacteria
Description: bacterial SSU rRNA
Rfam family: Bacterial small subunit ribosomal RNA
Source: RNAcentral
UGGGGAAUCUUGGACAAUGGGCGCAAGCCUGAUCCAGCAAUGCCGCGUGGGUGAAGAAGGCCUGCGGGUUGUAAAGCCCUUUCGGUGGGGAGGAACGGUCUGGUGCUAAUAUCGCUGGGCGUUGCCGUUACCCACAGAAGAAGCACCGGCCAACUCCGUGCCAGCAGCCGCGGUAAUACGGAGGGUGCGAGCGUUAAUCGGAAUUACUGGGCGUAAAGGGCGCGUAGGUGGUGCGUUGAGUCAGCUGUGAAAGCCCUGGGCUUAACCUGGGAAUGGCAGUUGAGACUGGCGUGCUGGAGUGUGACAGAGGACGGCGGAAUUCCCGGUGUAGCGGUGAAAUGCGUAGAGAUCGGGAGGAACACCGAUGGCGAAGGCAGCCGUCUGGGUUGACACUGACGCUGAGGCGCGAAGGCGUGGGGAGCAAACAGG